AGAGUUUGAUCAUGGCUCAGAACGAACGCUGGCGGCAUGCCUAACACAUGCAAGUCGAACGAGACCUUCGGGUCUAGUGGCGCACGGGUGCGUAACGCGUGGGAAUCUGCCCUUUGCUUCGGAAUAACAGUUAGAAAUGACUGCUAAUACCGGAUGAUGUCUUCGGACCAAAGAUUUAUCGGCAAAGGAUGAGCCCGCGUAGGAUUAGGUAGUUGGUGGGGUAAAGGCCUACCAAGCCGACGAUCCUUAGCUGGUCUGAGAGGAUGAUCAGCCACACUGGGACUGAGACACGGCCCAGACUCCUACGGGAGGCAGCAGUGGGGAAUAUUGGACAAUGGGCGCAAGCCUGAUCCAGCAAUGCCGCGUGAGUGAUGAAGGCCUUCGGGUCGUAAAGCUCUUUACCAGGGAUGAUAAUGACAGUACCUGGAGAAUAAGCUCCGGCUAACUCCGUG
RNAcentral lists this ribosomal RNA (452 nucleotides) under uncultured bacterium. RNAcentral's name for it is "bacterial SSU rRNA". It matches the Rfam family "Bacterial small subunit ribosomal RNA", at positions 8 to 507 of the family's 1533-position model. The record is from RNAcentral.